GUUCUUGCUGAAACUUAAAAACAGGGUCAGCUCUGUUCUGGAAUCCACCGCUGACCGAUUUCUUUUGACCCUGUGCAAUAGCAACGUAUCUGGUCGCCUUCAGAGGCAAACAAAUAACUUCCAGGAGAUAGAAGAUGA
This 138-nucleotide non-coding RNA is filed under the name Gloeochaete wittrockiana. The record is from RNAcentral. Lineage: Eukaryota; Glaucocystophyceae; Gloeochaetales; Gloeochaetaceae.